Protopterus annectens (West African lungfish) is the source of this 346-nucleotide long non-coding RNA. RefSeq lists it as uncharacterized. NCBI's taxonomy places the organism in Eukaryota, Metazoa, Chordata, Ceratodontiformes, Protopteridae. The record is from RefSeq and is a predicted model, not a curated record. The transcript has 3 exons.
UUGCUUCUCAGGAGGCAAAUAAAAAUGCUUCUGAGUUAGUAAAUGAAGAACAGAGGGCUAAAACCAGAGCAGUCAGAAGACGACUUAAGAAAAAGCGGCAGAAAGAGAGGAAGCGGCAAGAAAAACUACAGAAGGAGCAAGAAAAUAUGAAUGAAAUGGAAAGUUUAUCAGACAGUUCAAAGUCUGAUGAAGAGGAGUCAAUUAAGGGUAGUAAACAGGAUGUUAGUGUGUUAUGUGAGAAAGGACCCCCUCCUGCAUCCAAAAAGAAAAACCCAGAGGGCAAAAAAAGCCAAGAUGGUAAUAAAAAAAUCCAUAAUGGAACCCGUGAAGAGGACAGCAAGGAAGA